RNAcentral lists this ribosomal RNA (253 nucleotides) under uncultured bacterium. RNAcentral's name for it is "partial 16S ribosomal RNA". It matches the Rfam family "Bacterial small subunit ribosomal RNA", at positions 524 to 776 of the family's 1533-position model. The record is from RNAcentral.
UACGUAGGGGGCAAGCGUUGUCCGGAAUCAUUGGGCGUAAAGCGCGUGUAGGCGGCUCGGUAAGUCUGCUGUGAAAGUCCAGGGCUCAACCCUGGGAUGCCGGUGGAUACUGUCGAGCUCGAGUCCGGAAGAGGCGAGUGGAAUUCCUGGUGUAGCGGUGAAAUGCGCAGAUAUCAGGAAGAACACCCGUGGCGAAGGCGGCUCUCUGGGACGGUACUGACGCUGAGCCGCGAAAGCCAGGGGAGCGAACGGG